UUUUUUUUUUUUUUUUUGUCUGAAGAAAAAAGCAAGAUUGAGGCCUGAAACAACCAAGUUAAUCUGCCUUUUCAUGCUAGGUAAUCUAGCUAAUCCUUAGAGAAAAUCAAAAGCUUAAUCCAAUCUGUUAGGGAAGGAUCAAAUACUGGGCAUUUAACCCUCAGUGGAACAGAAACCACACAUCUCAGGACAUAAUGGCCUUUUGUUUUGUCCUCCUAACGAGAAUAGAACCUACAAAAACAGAUAACCAGUGUAUGUAAAAUCCUCUAAAUCACAGCAGUUAGCAGCCAACAUCCAAUCACAGCUAAUAAGGAACCAUGUACCCCUGAUUUAGGCAACUUGAUCUAACAUGUAAAGUAGGCAAGAAGUCUCUGGUUAUUAUUGUUCUCAUGAGGGAGAUCAGGAAUACUAACACAAGGAUAGUGUUACUAACAUCUGUAAGUACCAAAAACCAAAUCUGCAUAAACAAGCUAGGUGACAGCAAAGUGACAAAAAUCUUAAACUAUAUAGAGAAAAAUGCACGCUGAAAUCUAGCUAUGUAUUUAUAUACACGCUGAAUUUAGUUCCCAAAUU
RNAcentral lists this long non-coding RNA (573 nucleotides) under Coffea arabica (coffee). RNAcentral describes it as "long non-coding RNA (CARA_LNC001106)". Lineage: Eukaryota; Viridiplantae; Streptophyta; Magnoliopsida; Gentianales; Rubiaceae. The record is from RNAcentral.